AAUCAUCUGUGGUUUUAUUUCAGAUUUAUUCGGGCCGUAAUGAAGACGCGACGGGCCCCGGGCCGUAACCGACGGCGACAGGGUGACACUGAUGAAUGGCUGAAGUCCUCUCUGUCAGCCAAGGACAAAUCGACUGAGCCAACUCAAUGCUUCAAGCCUGGCAGCUUCCAGUCAUCUUGUCAAUCAAUGAAUCCAUACGAAGCUCGUCUCACCCAGUCCUGACACAGUAUGGCACAGCACUUUUUGAAGAGCACAAAAGAACAUGGAUACAUCAUCAUACACAACACUGUGGCAACAAUAUGACAGCAAGUUUGACUAAGUUCUCACCCAGCACUAAAAAAACACUACUGGAAAUUGCUGUUAAAGGAAUAUUUCACUGAAAAUCUGUCUUUUGAGUAUCAAAUACUCCUAAACGUAUAUAUAGCUUGCUCCUUCGCAGAAGAUGGCAGCUCUAGUCAGCUCUAGUCAGCUCGAAUCACAUCAUUUACAAUUAUAUUCCAUUACGACGGUGGACCAAUGUGCUUCUCUCACCACUGGUUAACACCGCUAGUUGUAGAUGAGGAUCCUCCGAAGCCACACCCGCUCUCAGCCAUGUUUUUUUGUUUACGCUUGACGUUGUGUACCUGGAACGCAUGGAGGUCAGAAAUCGGAAAUUUCAACUGGGAAAUUCCGACCUCCAACGUUGAGUGAAAUGCAGCAUUACUAGGAGUCAUGCAACACAUCCUCAAGACACUGUGAGAGCCCCGCGUUUCCGGUGCAUCAAUCCUCGUGUCAGUGCCUGGGCCUCGGUGUCGCCGAGGAGUGAUGGCCGUGCGGUGAUUAUAACGGAAUAAAAGGACGUAAUGAAGUGCUUUCCGCCCCGUUAUUCUCGUGUGCCCGGCUGCUGUCAGCCACCUCCACGCUGCCUUGAUGAGCCACUCCUCCCCCUCUCCAUCUCUC
Molecule: long non-coding RNA, 939 nt
Organism: Siniperca chuatsi (mandarin fish)
Lineage: Eukaryota; Metazoa; Chordata; Actinopteri; Centrarchiformes; Sinipercidae
Exons: 3
Source: RefSeq, a predicted model, not a curated record